GAACUAGGGCCGUGCAAAUUUUGGUUCAAACCGUUAACCCAAACCGAUAAUAUGUUUAUCGGGUUACUGAUUCAUUUUUUUGCUCUAUCGAGUCGGGUUUUGGGGCAAAGAUUCUUGAAAUUGGGUUAUCGGUUCGGGCCUCGGUUUAUUUACCCUUUUAAUCGGGUGGCACGAUAACCCGAUAUCCUGAUAUAACAAUACAGUAUACAUAACUGCUGAGGCCAUUUAUUCAUUUCCCAUUAAUGUCAUUACCAUUUACUAUCCGGCCUAAAGGCCCAAUAACACAAUAGCCACUUUAAUUCUAUCAGUGAAUAAGUCAUUUAUCAAUAAGUGAAUUAGCGAGAAACCACUUAAGGAGUUAGGGUUUUUUCACAAUUCAUAUUUCACAAACAUAGAAACACUCUUGCGGCUUCUCUUGCUCAGUUUCUCUCUUAGUGGUGCCUCUCCUCGUCAGUACUCAGUCAGUCGUCUCUCACUCUCAAGCCUCAAUAUUCACACGAAGAAGAGGUGUUCAAGCUCACACCAAAGAGAUAAAGACGAUUUGCUGCACUCAACAGUCACGUCGAUACAACUAGAUGGCACAAAAUACUAGAGUUGAUAAAGUGAUUGGUGAGAGUGUAGCUUCUGAUUCGAAUGUAGUUGAGUCUAAAGCAAAGAAAGAAAGGAAAAAAAGAUCUGUUGCGUGGAAUCAUUUUACUAGUAAAGUUGAUUCGGAAGGAAUUAAAAAGGGUGUGUGUAAUUAUUGUAAACAAGAGUAUUUGGCUGAUACAAAAGAACAUGGUACAACGACAAUGCUUGAUCAUAUAAAAAGAUGUUAAAAAUUGCCUCAUAAUGUUGAUACAAAGCAAUGAAAGAUAGCAUUUUUGCCGGUUGCAGAGGGUAACAAGGGUGAUGUAUCAAUUUUUUCAUAGAAAUUUGAUCAAGAAGAAUGCAGAAAAGCUUUAUGUCGUAUGAUAAUUCUUGAUGAGCUUCCUUUUAGAUUUGUUGAAAAAGAAGGCUUUAGAUAAUUUAUGAAAGUGGUACAACCUUUGUUUUGAAUUCCUUCUCGUACAACUGUUACUCGUGAUUAUUUUGAUCUCUUUGAUGAAGAAAAAAAUAAAAUGAGGAGCAUUUUUAAGGAAACCCAACAAAGAGUGUGUAUAACGACUGAUACUUGGACUUCUAUUCAAAGAAUCAAUUAUAUGUGUAUUACUGCUCGUUGGAUUGAUAAAAAUUGGACUUUGCAUAAAAGAAUCAUCAAUUUUUGUCCAAUUUCUAGCCAUAGAGGUGAAGAUAUAGUGAAGGGCAUUAUUAAGUGUUUGCAUGAGUGGGGAUUGCAUCGAAUUUUCACGGUUACUGUUGAUAAUGCUAGUUCAAAUAGUGUGUGUGUGAUUGAGUUGUCUAAGCAAUUGACUAAGUGGGGGACCAAUCUUAUGGUUGGUAAACAUCUUCAUGUUAGGUGUAUGGCGCAUAUCAUAAACCUUGUCGUUCAUGAUGGUAUAAAAGAAGCAACUAUUUCUAUUGAACGAAUUAGGCAAGCAGUGAGAUACAUUAGGCAAUCUCCUGCUAGAUGGAAGAGCUUUAAGGAAUAUUAUGAAGAUGAAAAUCUUGCAAAAAAUGUGGUUUGGCAUAUCAUCUCGAGUUUGGCCAAAAAAGGUGGAAUUCCACCUAUUUGAUGUUGAACAGGGCUAUUGAAUAUAAGGGUGCAAUUUUGAAUAAUGCUGAUAGUGAUAUUAGUUUGGCACAUCAUCUCGAGUUUGGCCAUAUCCGUGUGUGUGAUGGUGAUAGUGAUAUUGUGGAUGAAGAACAACCUGCAGGUACACUUUUGAGUAGUGAUUGGGAUAGCAUUAAAAUAAUUACAAAAUUUCUUGAAUUAUUUUUUAAGCUCACUUUGAAGGUUUCUGGAUCAUUGUAUAUUACAUCAAAUAUUCAUUUUCUUGAAAUUUGUCAAGUUGGUUUUUGCUUGACAAAAUUGAUAUCAAGUGAUGAUCGUGUAUUAGCUCACAUGGCAACAAACAUGAAGAAGAAAUUUGAAAAAUAUUGGGGUGAUCCAACAAAAAUGAACAAGAUGCUUUUUAUAUCUUGUGUUUUGGAUCCUCGUCACAAAUUUACCACUCGUAGUUUUGCACUUAAGAAGAUGUUUGGGGAUAAUGCACCAACUAUAGAAAAAGAUGUGCGAGAGUACAUGAAAUCAUUGUUUAAUGAGUAUUCAUCGUCUGCUUCAAAAGACAAAGGUGGUAGUUCUUCAGAAGUACAGGCUUCUAGUUCAAGCUCUUUGAUUGAUGUUGAUGACUUUUAUGAGGAGUUGAGUAGACGCACGUCUGAAAGUGUAGCCGGAAAUUCUAAGUCGGAGUUGGAUAAGUAUCUUGCAGAAGAUAUUGAAGCUGGAACGUCUGAUUUUAGUGUAUUACUUUGGUGGAAAUAUAAUUAGGCUAGAUUUCCUUUUCUUUCUGAAAUGACUCGUGAUGUUUUAGCUGUUCCUAUUUCUAGUGUAGCAUUAGAAUGUGCUUUUAGUACCGGGGGGCGUGUUCUUGAUUCAUUUAGGAGUUCAUUAACUCCUAAAUUGAUAAAAGCUCUAGUGUGUCUACAAGAUUGGCUUCAAAGUGAAUCACAGCCUAUAAGUAUCGAGGAGGAUUUAGAUUCUCUUGAGCAACUUGAACAAGAUUUGGCCAAAGUUGGAAAAGAUCCUUGCAAUAGCAUUGAUGAAAUAUUAGCAACUUGAACAAGGUUUCACCAUGUCUCAAAGUCAUGGUCCUAAAGUUCGAUCACCUGUUUGGAAUCACUAUGAAAAGCUUGAAGAGGAUGAUGAUGGGAGAUGCAAAGUGAAGUGUAUUCAUUGUGGUAAUGUUUAUAAUUACCAUCCACGACAUACUGGGACUUGGUGCUUGAGAGCUCAUGUUGAUCGUUGUUUGGAGAGGACGCAGUAUCGUGCUCGUAGUAUAAGACUUGAGUAAUAAUUAUUAUUAUUACUAUGUUUGUAAUUUGAACUUAAUUUUCAAAUUGAGUGACUGUUGCUUUGGAUUUUUCUAUUUUGUUUGUGCUAGACUUGUAGACUGUUUUUAAAUUAUGACUUUAUUUAAUUAGUUUGAAUUUUUUA
Molecule: long non-coding RNA, 3076 nt
Organism: Capsicum annuum
Lineage: Eukaryota; Viridiplantae; Streptophyta; Magnoliopsida; Solanales; Solanaceae
Exons: 4
Source: RefSeq, a predicted model, not a curated record